GCAGCAUUGCAGGUGUUGGUGUUCAUCUCUCUCUUUAUCAUUACCCAGAUUACAAGUGAAAAAACCAUUCAUAUUCUUGUUUCAAAGUGCAGAAAAAGGUUCUGCCCUGGGUGACCCAACAUUUAGUAAGGCUCAUGAAUCUCACAAAAAGAAAAGAAAAAUGGAAAAUUUCUUCCAGUCAGAUAACAAAAGGGAAUAUUAAAGGCUUGACAAUAGAUGAUUAAAAGGUUUACCUAAAUCUUUCCUAUUCAAAGAUAGGGUUCUUUUUAUGGCAUUCUUUUUAUAAAAACUGUAAAAGUGUAUUUCAUCAGAUUUUUGUAAUUAAAUCUCUCAUUGUAAGGUGCCCAAUCAUACAUUAGAAGCUCUUUCUACAACGUGAAGAAAAUUAUCCUGCAAGCUCUUGGAGUGGAGUUUUUGCAGUCACAAAUAGAAGCUUUAAAAUACUAUCUUAGCUGUACCACUGCCAAGAAAUACAAACCAUCUUCUAUUUCUUCUUCUUUCAGGAGAAGAAACAGGAGGAUGCUGAUGGGGAGGAGGAAGAAUAGGCUGUUGGUUUUACAGCUCCUUGCAGUCAAACUGAAUCAGUAAGGAGUCUGCACUGGAAACAGAACAUGUACAUCUCCUACUGCCACCUUCCCAAAGAACCCAACCUUUUCCAGCCACUAGGAAAUGUGGCAGGGAAGAUGGGGGCAAAGAGAAUGGCAAGUCCAGCUCUUUUUCAGGAACUGCCAAAUUGCUCCAAACACAGCUCUUGAAAACUAAUCUGGAAGGAAUUUUCCUGCAAUAGUGACUCAUGUUUUUAUGAAAUUUUUUUUACAAAUCUGAUUUCCAAGAGGGUCUUAAAAGUAACUAUAGUCUUAGUGUUAUUUGGUGCUGCAGGAACAAACACAGAAGAUGCCACGGAAAAAAAUAAAUUGAAUUAACGAAUGCAAAAGCAAUUCUCAAGAUGCAAUGAAGGCACCCUUCCUCCUCCCACUAGCACUGCUGUGCAUAAGCAGGAAACCUGGGACAGAAGAGAGAAAAUGGAAGAGGAAAGGAAAGGAAAGUGUGCCCUCCUUACACCCUCCUUGUUUUUCAUGGCCUACAAACAGGUGCCUGCCUCUCACAGCAGAGCAGGUCACCCUGUGCUACUGCAUUCCUUCUCCUUUAGACAGGAAUACAAACUCCUGCUCUACCCCAGCAGUCAGCUUUACUCAACCCAGCUAGGAAGUGCAGAUCAACUCUAAGCUCUGUUCCUUCUGAAUCACUCAAUGCAUGCUGAGCUCAGGGAGGAGAUGAUGUGUGGGUGGCAUUGCACUAAACUGUCCUCAACCAACACCUAUUUCUACACCUGAAUUUUUAUAUAGCAAGGAAAAUUCAUAUUUACUCCCUUCUCACUUCUUGCCUGAAUCCAAGAUUCAGUGCCUUUCAUGUCACAGAUAGAUGGGAAUGCUUCAUAAACAAAGGUCAAGCUGUGAAAAUCAGACAAAGCAUGGAAUAAACAAAUAAAUGUGCCUUA
Long non-coding RNA from Haemorhous mexicanus (house finch), 1498 nucleotides. RefSeq lists it as uncharacterized. The transcript is spliced from 4 exons. Lineage: Eukaryota; Metazoa; Chordata; Aves; Passeriformes; Fringillidae. The record is from RefSeq and is a predicted model, not a curated record.